Cricetulus griseus (Chinese hamster) is the source of this 105-nucleotide small nuclear RNA. Lineage: Eukaryota; Metazoa; Chordata; Mammalia; Rodentia; Cricetidae. The record is from Ensembl.
UUUUUUUUUCAGGAGCACAUACACUAAAAAUGGAACAAUUCAGAGAAAAUUAUCAUAGCCCUGGAUAAGAAUAGCAUGUGGUCUUGUCAAGUGCUCCAUGCAUUU